CCUACGGGCGGCAGCAGUGGGGAAUGUUGCACAAUGGGCGCAAGCCUGAUGCAGCCAUGCCGCGUGUGUGAAGAAGGCCUUCGGGUUGUAAAGCACUUUCAGCGGGGAGGAAGGCGGUGAGGUUAAUAACCUCAUCGAUUGACGUUACCCGCAGAAGAAGCACCGGCUAACUCCGUGCCAGCAGCCGCGGUAAUACGGAGGGUGCAAGCGUUAAUCGGAAUUACUGGGCGUAAAGCGCACGCAGGCGGUCUGUCAAGUCGGAUGUGAAAUCCCCGGGCUCAACCUGGGAACUGCAUUCGAAACUGGCAGGCUAGAGUCUUGUAGAGGGGGGUAGAAUUCCAGGUGUAGCGGUGAAAUGCGUAGAGAUCUGGAGGAAUACCGGUGGCGAAGGCGGCCCCCUGGACAAAGACUGACGCUCAGGUGCGAAAGCGUGGGGAGCAAACAGGAUUAGAUACCCCGGUAGUC
Molecule: ribosomal RNA, 465 nt
Filed under: uncultured Klebsiella sp.
Lineage: Bacteria; Pseudomonadati; Pseudomonadota; Gammaproteobacteria; Enterobacterales; Enterobacteriaceae
Description: bacterial SSU rRNA
Rfam family: Bacterial small subunit ribosomal RNA
Source: RNAcentral